CUACACCCACAAUAACAUCUGCUAAAUAUGUGUAUGUGACCAAUCAAAUUUGAUUUGAUUUGAAAACCAUGUUGGAGAAGAUUGAGAGAUUUCUCUCUGCAUCUCUCUCUCGCUGCUUUGGGGGCUGAUAGUCUACAGUACAUGUAUCAAGUGUGGAUCUGGCUCUAGACUCUAAAAUGCCUUUUCCAAUUCUCUUUUCUCUUUCCUUGGCUCCUGUCUUUCUCAUCUCACCUCCCACUCAUAGACCACUGGUGUGCAGCAUAAUUCAUCAUCAGGACAAAAGGCCUCUGAAAAUAUAAUUAGAUGCUGUCAAUCUUUCUCAUACCCAUUCAUUUAGGGUUGAAGCCUGCUCAUUUCCUCUAAUGCAUAGUGAUGGUGUGUAAUAAGGGGGAAAAAAUGAUUCAUCAUUUACUGCAUGAGGUUGCAGGAAGUAGGGGUGCUGCGGGUGCAGAAACAUUCAAAUAAACAUUUCAAUUAUUUUUUUUAGAAGAAAAAAAAACAAGCGAUGCACUGGGCCUUUAUUAGUCUUGAAUUAGCGGACAAAAAAUGAUCAACUAUUUGCUCUAGAGUUAUACUGACGCUGCAUACCCUGUUCUGUAUGUCCUGAACAGACCUUGAGCUUUUCAGGUUGGCUACUUCUCUCUUGUGUUUCUAACAGAACACACCAGACACAAACAGAACAUUUUUCUAGAAGGUUCUGGUAACUUUUGUUUGUCAGUUCUAACAAUUAGGCUAACCCAAUAAACAACUCAAGGUGUCAUGAAAAAAUCAACGGCCUCCUACCCAAAUUGAACACCCUCCCCCCCUCAUAGAAUUAACCAGAAAUAAUGUUUACAACCACAACUAAUAAUAACUGUAGCAACCCUUUGUUUAUAAGUGUGGAUAUCUACUUUGCCUCUUCAGGAUGCUUUUGUGGCACAGCCGAUGCCACGCAGGGCUACGGGCCAGAAGGUUGAGGGUUCGCCGACCACCACGGACGAACACAGGGCCAGAAGGUUGAGGGUUCGCCGACCACCACGGACGAACACAGGGCCAGAAGGUUGAGGGUUCGCCGACCACCACUGAAGAGCUCACUCUCACUGCAUGUUUAUUACACUACGAUCAGAGCCAGUUGCAGACAAUGAUCAGCUAGGGGGAAAUCAGAUGUUCAACAUUUUGAUGCCAUAUUUAUAGUUGUGUAAAAUAUAUGGAACAAAUUUUCUGAGCCAAUGCACCACAAAACCAAUAAACAAAGCAUGUUAACUUUGGGCCCGAAGGUUGAGGGUUCGCCGACCACCACGGACUAACACAUGAUAUUCAAUAUCAUGGUUUGUGUUUUCAACACCACAAUAAGUCGUCUGUCAAUCUGGACUAACAGAAAAUACAUCACUCCCUACCUUGUAGGCUUACCCAGUAUAGAAGGCUUGGCUUGACAAUCUCUGAAUGUCAUUAAACGUUUUGGUGUUUUGUUACAGAUGUCUCUUUCCAUUAAUCAAUUGGCCGCUGCACGGUUUGGAUUGAUUGAUUUUUAUUUUAUUUGUCAGUUUAAAAAAAAUACAUUUUUUUUAAGUGACUGGGAUUGCACAAUAAAGUCUGGGACUUAUUUC
Molecule: long non-coding RNA, 1586 nt
Organism: Oncorhynchus kisutch (coho salmon)
Lineage: Eukaryota; Metazoa; Chordata; Actinopteri; Salmoniformes; Salmonidae
Exons: 2
Source: RefSeq, a predicted model, not a curated record